AAGUGAGAAGCAAACAUUGCAAUCAGUUUCGACCUGAUCUUAGAUAAACCCGCCUGUUUAUCCUCACUUU
This 70-nucleotide transfer RNA is filed under the name Dentispicotermes sp. n. 2 SH-2021a. Its description in RNAcentral is "tRNA-Arg". The record is from RNAcentral. Lineage: Eukaryota; Metazoa; Arthropoda; Insecta; Blattodea; Termitidae.